GACGAACGCUGGCGGCGUGCUGAACACAUGCAAGUCGAACGGAAAGGCCCUGCUUUUGUGGGGUGCUCGAGUGGCGAACGGGUGAGUAACACGUGAGUAACCUGACCUUGACUUUGGGAUAACUUCAGGAAACUGGGGCUAAUACCGGAUAGGAGCUCCUGCUGCAUGGUGGGGGUUGGAAAGUUUCGGCGGUUGGGGAUGGACUCGCGGCUUAUCAGCGUGUUGGUGGGGUAGUGGCUUACCAAGGCUUUGACGGGUAGCCGGCCUGAGAGGGUGACCGGCCACAUUGGGACUGAGAUACGGCCCAGACUCCUACGGGAGGCAGCAGUGGGGAAUAUUGCACAAUGGGCGGAAACCUGAUGCAGCAACGCCGCGUGCGGGAUGACGGCCUUCGGGUUGUAAACCGCUUUCGCCUGUGACGAAGCGUGAGUGACGGUAAUGGGUAAAGAAGCACCGGCUAACUACGUG
This 468-nucleotide ribosomal RNA is filed under the name uncultured bacterium. RNAcentral's name for it is "partial 16S ribosomal RNA". It matches the Rfam family "Bacterial small subunit ribosomal RNA", at positions 28 to 507 of the family's 1533-position model. The record is from RNAcentral.